GGUUUCCGUUAGCAACCAGAGGCUUCUAAACAACCUACCCUCUUUCCCCAUUUUCUGUGGUCCAACUACCCUCGGCGAUCCCAGGCUUGGCGGGGCACCGCCUGGCCUCUCCCGUUCCUUUAGGCUGCCGCCGCCGCCUGCCGCCAUGGCAGAGUUGGGCCUAAAUGAGCACCAUCAAAAUGAAGUUAUUAAUUAUAUGCGUUUUGCUCGUUCAAAGAGAGGCUUGAGACUCAAAACUGUAGAUUCCUGCUUCCAAGACCUCAAGGAGAGCAGGCUGGUGGAGGAGACCUUCACCAUAGAUGAAGUCUCUGAAGUCCUCAAUGGAUUACAAGCUGUGGUUCAUAGUGAGGUGGAAUCUGAGCUCAUCAACACUGCCUAUACCAAUGUGUUACUUCUGCGACAGCUGUUUGCACAAGCUGAGAAGUGGUAUCUUAAGCUACAGACAGACAUCUCUGAACUUGAAAACCGAGAAUUAUUAGAACAAGUUGCAGAAUUUGAAAAAGCAGAGAUUACAUCUUCAAACAAAAAGCCCAUCUUAGAUGUCACAAAGCCAAAACUUGCUCCACUUAAUGAAGGUGGAACAGCAGAACUCCUAAACAAGGUAAUAUUAUUAUUUUGAGAAACGGAAAGUCUCUCAUUCUGUCCUGUCAUUGCCUAGGGUGGAGAAACAGAAGUGGAAGGUUUGGUUCAGUUCCUCUGAGGAUAAUUAGUCCAUUGCAGUAGUUUUACUUGAUGGUACCCCAUGGGCCAGAAGAGGGCAUACUUAACCUUCUAGAGAGCCUGAAGUAGCUCCUGAUCACACCUUUUCAAGGUAAAGUGAAGA
RNAcentral lists this small RNA (823 nucleotides) under Pan troglodytes (chimpanzee). RNAcentral describes it as "retained intron". The record is from RNAcentral. Lineage: Eukaryota; Metazoa; Chordata; Mammalia; Primates; Hominidae.